Long non-coding RNA from Gallus gallus (chicken), 1922 nucleotides. The record is from Ensembl. NCBI's taxonomy places the organism in Eukaryota, Metazoa, Chordata, Aves, Galliformes, Phasianidae.
CAACAUGAAGUCUCAUCACCCAACAAAUGACACCCAAUAAUCUUCAAGAAACAGCCACCCCUGUACAAUUCCACACACUUCCAUAGUCUUCCAAAUGACACUACAUGGUAUGGAACAACCCUUGGCCUAAUUCAAGUCAUCUGUCUCAGCUCCUCCCCUCCCCCUGCUGCCAGCCAUAAAGGCAGAUGCUCAUCCCUGCUGAGUAGUCUGUCCUGGCUUUGGCUGUGUUCCUAUCAGUUCCUCCAGAACUGACCCAUAUUCAUAUUUCCCCCAUAUACCAAAACUAAGCGAUAUUCCUUAUGACUGAGAAUCACUCUUUAGUUCCCUUCUCCACCUGAGAAAGUGCAGCUACAGUAAAAGCUUAUAUUUUUGGUGGAUUGCAAAUAACACAUUAACUUACUGGAUUAUCCCCAAGGAGCCUGGGAACUCUGUGAAGUCAGUGGUUGCUCUCUUCCCUUUCAUAGAAUCAUUAAAGUUGGCAAAGAUCUUUAUGAUAAUCUAUUUCAACCAUCAAUCCAUAAAUACUGAACUGUAUCCCUCACUACCACAUUUACACAUUUCUUGAACUCCUCCAGGGAUGAUGAACCUACCACCUUCCCUAGGCAUCCUGUUUCAAUGUAUUACCACUCUUCCAGAGAAGAAAGGUUUCCUAAUAUCCAACCUGAAUCUCACUCACCUGAUACAACUUAAGGCCAUUACCUCUCAUUACUAUCACCUGGGAGAAGAGACCAAACCCCAUCUCUCUACAACCUCCCUUCAGGUUGUUGGAGAGAGUGAUGGGGUUGUCCCUGAGCCUCCUCCUUUCCAAAGUGAACAAUCCUUUCUGUAAGACUUGUGUUCCAGACCCUUCAAGAUUUAUUGCCCUUCUUUGUACACACUCCAGGUCCUCAACAUCUUUCUUGUAGUGAAGGGCCCAAAGCCAAACACAGUACUCAAGGUGCGGCCUCACUGAGUACUGAGGCACAAUCACCUCCCUUGUUCUGCUCAUUACAAGCCAGGAUGCCAUUGGCCUUGGCUACCUGAGCAUGCUACUUUCUCAUGUUCAGCUGGCUGUUGACUAAUACCCCAGACCCUUUUCUUCCAUGUAGAUUUCCAGACACUCUGCCAUUUAGUGUUGUAUGGGGCUGGUGUGACCACAAUGCAGGAUCCAGCACUUGGUCUUCUUGCAGCUCAUGCAACUAGCCUCAACCCAUUGAUCCAACUUAUCCAGAUCCCUCUGCAGGACCUUCCUUCUCCCAGACAUAUCAACACUUCCUCCCAACUUGGUAUCAUCUGCAAACUUACUGAGAGUGCACUCAAUCCCCUCAUCCAGAUCAUCAGUAAAGAUACAAAGUAGGACUGGCUUCAGUACUGACUGCUGAAGAACUCUGCUCAUGAUGCAUCACCAGCUGGAUUGUUUGCAUUCAUGCUUGAAUCAAGAAUCCUAUCAACUGUGCAUUUUCUAUGAGACAGUGAACACCCAUUGCUCACAGCAGAUUUUGUGGUGCCUGGAGUAUUCAGUGUCUUACAAGAGAAGGUCUUUAAAAAGAAAACUGUUUUGCUUUCCUCAAAACAGAGAUUUACUGUUAGAAGCACAACAUACAUAACUACUACGUUUAUAUGAGAUCAAUAGAGUGAAUUCUGAAUAAAAUAUAUAUAGACACAUAACUUGGCUGUAGCAAUUAAAUCUUUCUAGUGUGAUAAAUACAUUAAUCAUUAUAUGAUUAAAUCCAUAAUCCUUAGCAUAGGAGGAAGAUUUGGAAAAAAAACAACAGAGUAUGAAUAGUUGUAUGAACCUAAAAAUAUUUAAAUGUAAUUUAAGUUCACUUUGUUUCUAUUUUGGAGUUUCUGGUGACUUGCAAUGCUAGCGGUUCUAACCUUAGCUAUUCAAGUUAUUUAGUAUGCUAAGGUCAUCUCCAAAAUUCCCUGACUGCACAUUUGGG